RNAcentral lists this ribosomal RNA (267 nucleotides) under uncultured bacterium. RNAcentral's name for it is "partial 16S ribosomal RNA". It matches the Rfam family "Bacterial small subunit ribosomal RNA", at positions 524 to 790 of the family's 1533-position model. The record is from RNAcentral.
UACGGAGGGGGCUAGCGUUGUUCGGAAUUACUGGGCGUAAAGCGCACGUAGGCGGCUUUGUAAGUUAGAGGUGAAAGCCCGGGGCUCAACUCCGGAAUUGCCUUUAAGACUGCAUCGCUAGAAUUGUGGAGAGGUAAGUGGAAUUCCGAGUGUAGAGGUGAAAUUCGUAGAUAUUCGGAAGAACACCAAUGGCGAAGGCGACUUACUGGACACAUAUUGACGCUGAGGUGCGAAAGCGUGGGGAGCAAACAGGAUUAGAAACCCUUG